AGAGUUUGAUCCUGGCUCAGAACGAACGCUGGCGGCAGGCCUAACACAUGCAAGUCGAACGCCCCGCAAGGGGAGUGGCAGACGGGUGAGUAACGCGUGGGAACCUACCUAGAGGUGCGGAAUAGCCCAGGGAAACUUGGAGUAAUACCGCAUAAGCCCGCAAGGGGAAAGAUUUAUCGCCUUUAGAUGGGCCCGCGUCUGAUUAGCUAGUUGGUGAGGUAAUGGCUCACCAAGGCGACGAUCCGUAGCGGGUCUGAGAGGAUGAUCCGCCACACUGGGACUGAGACACGGCCCAGACUCCUACGGGAGGCAGCAGUGGGGAAUUUUGGACAAUGGGGGCAACCCUGAUCCAGCCAUGCCGCGUGAGUGAAGAAGGCCUUCGGGUUGUAAAGCUCUUU
This 398-nucleotide ribosomal RNA is filed under the name uncultured beta proteobacterium. Its description in RNAcentral is "bacterial SSU rRNA". It matches the Rfam family "Bacterial small subunit ribosomal RNA", at positions 8 to 436 of the family's 1533-position model. The record is from RNAcentral. Lineage: Bacteria; Pseudomonadati; Pseudomonadota; Betaproteobacteria.